Pelobates cultripes (western spadefoot toad) is the source of this 278-nucleotide non-coding RNA. Lineage: Eukaryota; Metazoa; Chordata; Amphibia; Anura; Pelobatidae. The record is from the annotation of a GenBank genome assembly.
AACAACUGUGUGUUAUUAACAGAAAGUAAAAAAAGAAUUGCACCUUUGUAAAUUAAUUUAAACUGACUGAAACAGCUGAUAUAAAGCUACAAGUCCCUAUUACUUGGAAUAUGUUGACAGGCUGAGAGCACUAGGCUAAGCCACUCCAGCAACACAUCCAUCACGAUCAGUCACCACCUUCCAAGCUAGGCCCAAGUGUCCACUUUGACUUUUAACAGAUGAAGAGAGGGUGGUCCUUGGGUGUCACAGAAAACCAAAUGGCUUCUUAACAAUUUGAC